CUUUCCACAAAGGACAUGCCAGUGACCAAAGCCGAUUCAAUAGAUGUUUUAUGUGAUUAUAUCAUGGCAAUAGAAGACGAUACGACACUAGAACUUUCGUCAUGCUACAUUAUAGGAGAACAUGGGUGCGAAGUUUCAAUCCUUUUAAGAUAGAAAUAUCUGUCAAAGACCUGCAAAACAUAUUAACGACAACUCAAGAUAUGAUUUUAAGAUGUUUUGACAUGGCUGUUCGGCUGCUUGCCAAUAAAGAGUCACGUAGGCCGAAAGAAGAAAUCAUAAAUAAUAGAAAGCAUUAUAUGGACAUGCGUUUUUGGAGAAUGGUUGGUUUUGGUAAACUUCCAAAGUACCAUCAGGAUCCUACAACAGAAGAGUUAGCCAAAACACUCGAUUGUUGGCCAUCAAUGAAUUAUUAUAUCACAUGUUGUAGAUAUGU
Molecule: unclassified non-coding RNA, 433 nt
Filed under: Zea mays
Lineage: Eukaryota; Viridiplantae; Streptophyta; Magnoliopsida; Poales; Poaceae
Description: misc RNA Zm00001eb057890
Source: RNAcentral